This 525-nucleotide ribosomal RNA is filed under the name Salmonella enterica subsp. enterica serovar Infantis. RNAcentral's name for it is "partial 23S ribosomal RNA". It matches the Rfam family "Bacterial large subunit ribosomal RNA", at positions 689 to 1212 of the family's 2925-position model. Lineage: Bacteria; Pseudomonadati; Pseudomonadota; Gammaproteobacteria; Enterobacterales; Enterobacteriaceae. The record is from RNAcentral.
CGGGCGUUAAGUUGCAGGGUAUAGACCCGAAACCCGGUGAUCUAGCCAUGGGCAGGUUGAAGGUUGGGUAACACUAACUGGAGGACCGAACCGACUAAUGUUGAAAAAUUAGCGGAUGACCUGUGGCUGGGGGUGAAAGGCCAAUCAAACCGGGAGAUAGCUGGUUCUCCCCGAAAGCUAUUUAGGUAGCGCCUCGUGAAUUCAUCUCCGGGGGUAGAGCACUGUUUCGGCUAGGGGGCCAUCCCGGCUUACCAACCCGAUGCAAACUGCGAAUACCGGAGAAUGUUAUCACGGGAGACACACGGCGGGUGCUAACGUCCGUCGUGAAGAGGGAAACAACCCAGACCGCCAGCUAAGGUCCCAAAGUCAUGGUUAAGUGGGAAACGAUGUGGGAAGGCCCAGACAGCCAGGAUGUUGGCUUAGAAGCAGCCAUCAUUUAAAGAAAGCGUAAUAGCUCACUGGUCGAGUCGGCCUGCGCGGAAGAUGUAACGGGGCUAAACCAUGCACCGAAGCUGCGGCAGCGAA